RNAcentral lists this ribosomal RNA (359 nucleotides) under uncultured SAB reactor bacterium band 2. RNAcentral describes it as "bacterial SSU rRNA". It matches the Rfam family "Bacterial small subunit ribosomal RNA", at positions 90 to 448 of the family's 1533-position model. The record is from RNAcentral.
UCUUAGCGGCGGACGGGUGAGUAACACGUGAGCAACCCGCCUUUAGCUGGGGAAUAACACUGGGAAACCAGUGCUAAUACCGCAUAACAUCCAAGUGUGGCAUCACAUUUGGAUCAAAGAAGAAAUCCGGCAAAAGAUGGGCUCGCGUCCGAUUAGAUAGUUGGUAGGGUAAAGGCCUACCAAGUCAACGAUCGGUAGCCGGACUGAGAGGUUGACCGCCACAUUGGGACUGAGACACGGCCCAGACUCCUACGGGAGGCAGCAGUGGGGAAUAUUGGGCAAUGGGGGAAACCCUGACCCAGCAACGCCGCGUGAAGGAAGAAGGUCUUCGGAUUGUAAACUUCUUUGAUCAGGGACGA